AUGGGAUGGGAAAACAGCCCCAUUCCCAGAUCCCAGGCACAAGGCACAGGGAAUCUGUGGGAUGCAGCAGGACCUGGGGUCCCACUCCAGCUCAUCCCACUGCCUUUGGGGACCCCUGAAGUGCCCUGGUUUGGCACUUUGGGGGCUGUGUCCCCCCUCCAGGGAGGGAAUUUGGGAUCUCCAGGGCUGCCUGAUCCAACCCAGGAAUGUUGGAUCCCGUUGGAGCAUCCUGCCAAUCCUCCUGCCACCCCCCCGAGGUGCCGGGGGGGCACCCCCAGAGCCCCGGACCCCUCGUGCUGGGGGGGCCCAGCCGCGUUUGGGGGUCACCCCGGGUUUCCAGGGAAAUGCCAUUCCCACCGAACAACCCCCCAAAUGUCUUUUGGCCUCUUUUCCGAGGCCUCCAGGAGUGGGAGCCGGGGUCAAGGAGGCGAAAAGGGGGGGGGGGGUGAGGGGGUGAGAGGAUGGAUUCUUUUGUCCCGGACGCUGGAUGCUCCCACAUUUAUCACCAUGGAAACAAAAGCCACCACGUCCCCCCCCCCGGCGUUGUCCGGGAGAUGGGAACGGCGCCGGGAGCGCGUCCCGGCAUUCCCGGCGAGCGCUGGGGGAAGGGGCCGGGAGAGAAAAGACCCCCCUGUGCCCCCCCCUCACACCCCCCCCCCCCUUUCCCGGGCUUUGUUUGCGGGCAGGGAUCGGGUUUCUGCCGGGAACAAUGCCCGGAGCCGCCUCCGCCCGGCUCCGGCCCCAGUGACACCACAGGGAAAAGGGGAUGGUUUGGCCGGCAGAGCCGGGAAAAGCCGGUUGAGCAGCACGGGGCACUCCGCUGGAGAGGCGGGGAAGGGAUUCCUGGUGUCUCCAGGAGGAGCAGCUUCGCCUCCCCGGGCCCGGGGAGCCGCCGAGGGAGCGCCGGGAGCCGGAGCCGGAUGCAAACGAGGAGGAGAACUCCCACUUCUAACAGCCGGGUGAUUGUGGAGCGUCGGAACAAACCCUGCCCGGGGGGAGCCGAGGGUUUUUCGCCCUCUCCCGACGUCUCUCAAGCCCGGGCUGGAUGAUGGUUCCUGGGGAUGGGGCCGGUUCAAAGCUCGGAAAAGCCGCUGCCUUUGAGUCCCCGACCUCAAACACCCUCUGGCUUUUUGUAUUCAGAUGCUCUUCCCCCCCCCAAAAAAAAAAUAUAAAAUAAUAAAAAAAUAGAUCCAAGCGUU
This is a long non-coding RNA of Pseudopipra pipra, 1199 nucleotides long. RefSeq lists it as uncharacterized. The transcript is spliced from 2 exons. Lineage: Eukaryota; Metazoa; Chordata; Aves; Passeriformes; Pipridae. The record is from RefSeq and is a predicted model, not a curated record.